GAUGGCGACCGGCGCACGGGUGAGUAACACGUAUCCAACCUGCCGAUAACUCCGGAAUAGCCUUUCGAAAGAAAGAUUAAUACCGGAUGGCAUACGAAUAUCGCAUGAUAUUUUUAUUAAAGAAUUCGGUUAUCGAUGGGGAUGCGUUCCAUUAGUUUGUUGGCGGGGUAACGGCCCACCAAGACUACGAUGGAUAGGGGUUCUGAGAGGAAGGUCCCCCACAUUGGAACUGAGACACGGUCCAAACUCCUACGGGAGGCAGCAUG
Molecule: ribosomal RNA, 266 nt
Filed under: uncultured bacterium
Lineage: Bacteria
Description: partial 16S ribosomal RNA
Rfam family: Bacterial small subunit ribosomal RNA
Source: RNAcentral